RNAcentral lists this ribosomal RNA (429 nucleotides) under Pseudomonadota bacterium. Its description in RNAcentral is "Proteobacteria bacterium partial 16S ribosomal RNA". It matches the Rfam family "Bacterial small subunit ribosomal RNA", at positions 355 to 776 of the family's 1533-position model. Lineage: Bacteria; Pseudomonadati; Pseudomonadota. The record is from RNAcentral.
UGGGGAAUAUUGGACAAUGGGCGAAAGCCUGAUCCAGCCAUGCCGCGUGUGUGAAGAAGGUCUUCGGAUUGUAAAGCACUUUAAGUUGGGAGGAAGGGCAGUAAGCGAAUACCUUGCUGUUUUGACGUUACCGACAGAAUAAGCACCGGCUAACUCUGUGCCAGCAGCCGCGGUAAUACAGAGGGUGCAAGCGUUAAUCGGAAUUACUGGGCGUAAAGCGCGCGUAGGUGGUUCGUUAAGUUGAAUGUGAAAGCCCCGGGCUCAACCUGGGAACUGCAUCCAAAACUGGCGAGCUAGAGUAGGGCAGAGGGUGGUGGAAUUUCCUGUGUAGCGGGGAAAGGCGUAGAUAUAGGAAGGAACACCAGUGGCGAAGGCGACCACCUGGGCUCAUACUGACGCUGAGGUGCGAAAGCGUGGGGAGCAAACAGG